Molecule: long non-coding RNA, 558 nt
Organism: Cercocebus atys (sooty mangabey)
Lineage: Eukaryota; Metazoa; Chordata; Mammalia; Primates; Cercopithecidae
Exons: 4
Source: RefSeq, a predicted model, not a curated record
UCUAGAUGCAAAUAAAGAACUUGGAAUUAUUCCCCAAGAAGCUCCUUCUUCUGAAACCAAGAGGGGACUACAUGAUUCUAUCUGAUGACAACCAGUCUGUGAUCUCAGGGUCCGACAGAGAUGACAUCAACAGAAGCUCAGGCUAGAAGGAAGAUGAGGUAGCAGUGGACCUGGUCUGCCCCGCCCCCAAGAGUGACUGGCAGCACACACAGCCUGAAUCGACAAGAUUUUAAAAAACAUGUAUGUUUUGGUUUUCACAUAUUCUCCCACCUGUUGGUAAGUACUUUUGAAAACUUAAAUCGUAGACUCAUUCCUUUAUGACAGUUUUCAACAGAUGUUCCCUAUAUAAAAUCUUCUCAGACUACCCUUAACUUCCUCUGAAGCCCAGGGCUCAUUUCCGUCUGUAAUUCUGACAUCUACCAUCUUACAGGGGGUUCUGUAAUUACCAAGGCAAUGAGCACAAAUCCCUGGUUCUCUCAGCAAUCCAACCCUCUGAAGCAAGAAAUUGCACCCCUCUGCCAAACAGUAUCUUGCUCCAUCACCCCGGCUAGAAUGCAG